Molecule: ribosomal RNA, 408 nt
Filed under: Fusobacteriota bacterium
Lineage: Bacteria; Fusobacteriati; Fusobacteriota
Description: Fusobacteria bacterium partial 16S ribosomal RNA
Rfam family: Bacterial small subunit ribosomal RNA
Source: RNAcentral
UGGGGAAUAUUGCACAAUGGACGGAAGUCUGAUGCAGCAACGCCGCGUGCGGGAUGACGGCCUUCGGGUUGUAAACCGCUUUUUCUCAUGACGAAGUUUUUUGACGGUAGUGGGGGAAGAAGCACCGGCUAACUACGUGCCAGCAGCCGCGGUGAUACGUAGGGUGCGAGCGUUGUCCGGAAUUAUUGGGCGUAAAGAGCUUGUAGGCGGUUUGUCGCGUCGAUAGUGCAAACUCAGUGCUUAACGCUGAGCCUGCUGUUGAUACGGGCAGACUAGAGGAAGGUAGGGGAGAAUGGAAUUCCCGGUGGAGAGGUGGAAUGCGCAGAUAUCGGGAGGAACACCGGUGGCGAAGGCGGUUCUCUGGGCCUUUCCUGACGCUGAGAAGCGAAAGCGUGGGGAGCGAACAGG